UACGGAGGAUGCAAGCGUUAUCCGGAAUUAUUGGGCGUAAAGCGUCCGCAGGUGGCACUUCAAGUCUGUCGUCAAAGACCGGGGCUUAACCCUGGAAAGGCGAUGGAAACUGAAAGGCUAGAGAGAGGUAGGGGUAGAGGGAAUUCCCAGUGUAGCGGUGAAAUGCGUAGAGCUCGGGAAGAACAUCGGUGGCGAAAGCGCUCUGCUGGACUGCAACUGACACUCAGGGACGAAAGCUAGGGGAGCGAAUGGG
This 253-nucleotide ribosomal RNA is filed under the name uncultured bacterium. RNAcentral describes it as "partial 16S ribosomal RNA". It matches the Rfam family "Bacterial small subunit ribosomal RNA", at positions 524 to 776 of the family's 1533-position model. The record is from RNAcentral.